GACGAACGCUGGCGGCGUGCCUAAUACAUGCAAGUAGAACGCACAGUUUAUACCGUAGCUUGCUACACCAUAGACUGUGAGUUGCGAACGGGUGAGUAACGCGUAGGUAACCUGCCUGGUAGCGGGGGGUAACUAUUGGAAACGAUAGCUAAUACCGCAUAAUAUUGAUUAUUGCAUGAUAAUUGAUUGAAAGAUGCUAUUGCAUCACUACCAGAUGGACCUGCGUUGUAUUAGCUAGUAGGUGAGGUAACGGCUCACCUAGGCGACGAUACAUAGCCGACCUGAGAGGGUGAUCGGCCACACUGGGACUGAGACACGGCCCAGACUCCUACGGGAGGCAGCAGUAGGGAAUCUUCGGCAAUGGACGAAAGUCUGACCGAGCAACGCCGCGUGAGUGAAGAAGGGUUUCGGAUCGUAAAGCUCUGUUGUAAGAGAAGAACGGGUGUGAGAGUGGAAAGUUCACACUGUGACGGUAGCUUACCAGAAAGGGACGGCUAACUACGUG
This 505-nucleotide ribosomal RNA is filed under the name uncultured bacterium. RNAcentral describes it as "partial 16S ribosomal RNA". It matches the Rfam family "Bacterial small subunit ribosomal RNA", at positions 28 to 507 of the family's 1533-position model. The record is from RNAcentral.